UUUUUUGUGUUAUUCUUUUUCUUUUUUCUAUAAUGUGUGAUUAUGUGUGGCUGUUAUAACAAUUGUGUUUCUCCUGGUUCAUAUAUUAUCUGAUGUGGUGCUAAUUAAUUUUGUUACACCUAAAAUAAUUGGUUCAUCAUUGACCUCAUUUGCUACAGCAAUAUUGAUGUCUUAGUUAAUGAAUGAAGCAUGUUUGAAUUAUUUAUAGGUUUUGGUUUUGGAUAGGCUUAUG
RNAcentral lists this unclassified non-coding RNA (232 nucleotides) under Hevea brasiliensis (rubber tree). Lineage: Eukaryota; Viridiplantae; Streptophyta; Magnoliopsida; Malpighiales; Euphorbiaceae. The record is from RNAcentral.